RNAcentral lists this ribosomal RNA (1469 nucleotides) under uncultured Alphaproteobacteria bacterium. RNAcentral's name for it is "uncultured alpha proteobacterium 16S ribosomal RNA". It matches the Rfam family "Bacterial small subunit ribosomal RNA". Lineage: Bacteria; Pseudomonadati; Pseudomonadota; Alphaproteobacteria. The record is from RNAcentral.
AGAGUUUGAUCCUGGCUCAGGACGAACGCUGGCGGCAGGCCUAACACAUGCAAGUCGAACGAGAAGCCAUCCUUCGGGAUGGUGGGCAGUGGCGAACGGGUGAGUAACGCGUGGGAACCUGCCCUUCGGUACGGGACAACCGCGGGAAACUGCGGCUAAUACCGUAUAUUCCCCAUGGGGGAAAGAUUUAUCGCCGAAGGAUGGGCCCGCGUCCGAUUAGUAGUUGGUGAGGUAAUGGCUCACCAAGACUUCGAUCGGUAGCUGUUCUGAGAGGAUGAUCAGCCACACUGGGACUGAGAUACGGCCCAGACUCCUACGGGAGGCAGCAGUGGGGAAUAUUGGACAAUGGGAGCAACCCUGAUCCAGCCAUGCCGCGUGAGUGAAAGAAGGCCCUAGGGUUGUAAAGCUCUUUCAGCGAGGAAGAUAAUGACGGUACUCGCAAAAGAAGCCCCGGCUAACUUCGUGCCAGCAGCCGCGGAAUACGGAGGGGGCUAGCGUUGUUCGGAAUUACUGGGCGUAAAGCGUGCGUAGGCGGUUUGCUAAGUUGGGCGUGAAAGCCCGGGGCUCAACCCCGGAACUGCGUUCAAUACUGGCAGACUAGAGGCCGGAAGAGGAGGGCGGAAUUCCCAGUGUAGAGGUGAAAUUCGUAGAUAUUGGGAAGAACACCAGUGGCGAAGGCGGCUCUCUGGUCCGGUUCUGACGCUGAGGCACGAAAGCGUGGGGAGCGAACAGGAUUGAUACCCUGGUAGUCCACGCCGUAAACGAUGAGUGCUAGACGUCGGGGGGCUUGCCCUUCGGUGUCGCAGCUAACGCAUUAAGCACUCCGCCUGGGGACUACGGCCGCAAGGCUAAAACUCAAAGGAAUUGACGGGGGCUCACACAAGCGGUGGAGCAUGUGGAUUAAUUCGAAGCAACGCGCAGAACCUUACCUGGGUUUGACAUGCACGGAUGCUCUCUUGGAAACAGGAGUAGGCUGCCUUCGGGUGAAACGCGCCAGGUGCUGCAUGGCUGUCGUCAGCUCGUGCUGUGAAGUGUCGGGUUAAGUCCCUUAACGAGCGAAACCCCUAUCGCUAGUUGCCAUCGGUUCGGCCGGGGACUCUAGGGGGACCGCCGGUGAUAAGCCGGAGGAAGGUGGGGACGACGUCAAGUCCUCAUGGCCCUUAUGCCCAGGGCUACACACGUGCUACAAUGGCCGGUACAAAGGGUCGCCAACCCGCGAGGGGGAGCCAAUCCCAAAAAGCCGGUCUCAGUUGGAUUGGAGUCUGCAACUCGACUCCAUGAAGUCGGAAUCGCUAGUAAUCGCGCAUCAGCACGGCGUGGUGAAUACGUUCCCGGGCCUUGUACACACCGCCCGUCACACCACGAAAGCUGAUUGUACCGGAAGUCGCUGAGCUAACCCCCACUUCGGUGGAGGAGGCAGGCGCCCAUGGUAUGAUUGGUGAUUGGGGUGAAGUCGUAACAAGGUAACC